GAGUCGACCAGGUUAAUUCACAACCCGAACGCAGGUAGUGGAGUCGACCAGGUUAAUUCACAACCCGAACACAGGUAGUGAGUCGACCAGGUUAAUUCACAACCUGAACACAGGUAGUGUGAGUCGACCAGGUUAAUUCACAACCUGAACACAGGUAGUGAGUCGACCAGGUUAAUUCACAACCU
Molecule: long non-coding RNA, 185 nt
Organism: Salvelinus sp. IW2-2015
Lineage: Eukaryota; Metazoa; Chordata; Actinopteri; Salmoniformes; Salmonidae
Source: RefSeq, a predicted model, not a curated record